GCUUGCUACCUGACCUAGCGGCGGACGGGUGAGUAAUGCUUAGGAAUCUGCCUAUUAGUGGGGGACAACAUUCCGAAAGGAAUGCUAAUACCGCAUACGCCCUACGGGGGAAAGCAGGGGAUCUUCGGACCUUGCGCUAAUAGAUGAGCCUAAGUCAGAUUAGCUAGUUGGUGGGGUAAAGGCCUACCAAGGCGACGAUCUGUAGCGGGUCUGAGAGGAUGAUCCGCCACACUGGGACUGAGACACGGCCCAGACUCCUACGGGAGGCAGCAGUGGGGAAUAUUGGACAAUGGGCGAAAGCCUGAUCCAGCCAUGCCGCGUGUGUGAAGAAGGCCUUUUGGUUGUAAAGCACUUUAAGCGAGGAGGAGGCUACUGAGAUUAAUACUCUUGGAUAGUGGACGUUACUCGCAGAAUAAGCACCGGCUAACUCUGUGCCAGCAGCCGCGGUAAUACAGAGGGUGCGAGCGUUAAUCGGAUUUACUGGGCGUAAAGCGUGCGUAGGCGGCUUUUUAAGUCGGAUGUGAAAUCCCUGAGCUUAACUUAGGAAUUGCAUUCGAUACUGGGAAGCUAGAGUAUGGGAGAGGAUGGUAGAAUUCCAGGUGUAGCGGUGAAAUGCGUAGAGAUCUGGAGGAAUACCGAUGGCGAAGGCAGCCAUCUGGCCUAAUACUGACGCUGAGGUACGAAAGCAUGGGGAGCAAACAGGAUUAGAUACCCUGGUAGUCCAUGCCGUAAACGAUGUCUACUAGCCGUUGGGGCCUUUGAGGCUUUAGUGGCGCAGCUAACGCGAUAAGUAGACCGCCUGGGGAGUACGGUCGCAAGACUAAAACUCAAAUGAAUUGACGGGGGCCCGCACAAGCGGUGGAGCAUGUGGUUUAAUUCGAUGCAACGCGAAGAACCUUACCUGGUCUUGACAUAGUAAGAACUUUCCAGAGAUGGAUUGGUGCCUUCGGGAACUUACAUACAGGUGCUGCAUGGCUGUCGUCAGCUCGUGUCGUGAGAUGUUGGGUUAAGUCCCGCAACGAGCGCAACCCUUUUCCUUAUUUGCCAGCGGGUUAAGCCGGGAACUUUAAGGAUACUGCCAGUGACAAACUGGAGGAAGGCGGGGACGACGUCAAGUCAUCAUGGCCCUUACGACCAGGGCUACACACGUGCUACAAUGGUCGGUACAAAGGGUUGCUACCUAGCGAUAGGAUGCUAAUCUCAAAAAGCCGAUCGUAGUCCGGAUUGGAGUCUGCAACUCGACUCCAUGAAGUCG
RNAcentral lists this ribosomal RNA (1255 nucleotides) under uncultured Acinetobacter sp. RNAcentral's name for it is "bacterial SSU rRNA". It matches the Rfam family "Bacterial small subunit ribosomal RNA", at positions 78 to 1328 of the family's 1533-position model. The record is from RNAcentral. Lineage: Bacteria; Pseudomonadati; Pseudomonadota; Gammaproteobacteria; Moraxellales; Moraxellaceae.